AUGGUUAAGUUAGAAAGGGCGCACGGUGAAUGCCUUGGCACUAGGAGCCGAUGAAGGACGGGACUAACACCGAUAUGCUUCGGGGAGCUGUAAGUGAGCUUUGAUCCGGAGAUUUCCGAAUGGGGAAACCCACUGUUCGUAAUGGAACAGUAUCUUUAUCUGAAUACAUAGGAUAUUGAAGGCAGACCCGGGGAACUGAAACAUCUAAGUACCCGGAGGAAGAGAAAGCAAAUGCGAUUUCCUGAGUAGCGGCGAGCGAAACGGAAUUAGCCCAAACCAAGAGGCUUGCCUCUUGGGGUUGUAGGACACUCUAUACGGAGUUACAAAGGAACGAAGUAAAUGAAGCGACCUGGAAAGGUCCGUCGAAGAAGGUAACAACCCUGUAGUUGAAACUUCGUUCCCUCUUGAGUGGAUCCUGAGUACGGCGGAACACGUGAAAUUCCGUCGGAAGCUGGGAGGACCAUCUCCCAAGGCUAAAUACUACCUAGUGACCGAUAGUGAACCAGUACCGUGAGGGAAAGGUGAAAAGCACCCCGGAAGGGGAGUGAAAGAGAUCCUGAAACCGUGUGCCUACAAGUAGUCAGAGCCCGUUAACGGGUGAUGGCGUGCCUUUUGUAGAAUGAACCGGCGAGUUACGAUCCCAUGCAAGGUUAAGCUGAUAAGGCGGAGCCGUAGCGAAAGCGAGUCUGAAUAGGGCGUUUAGUAUGUGGUUGUAGACCCGAAACCAGGUGAUCUACCCAUGUCCAGGGUGAAGUUCAGGUAACACUGAAUGGAGGCCCGAACCCACGCACGUUGAAAAGUGCGGGGAUGAGGUGUGGGUAGCGGAGAAAUUCCAAUCGAACCUGGAGAUAGCUGGUUCUCUCCGAAAUAGCUUUAGGGCUAGCCUCAUGUUGUGAGAGUCUUGGAGGUAGAGCACUGAUUGGACUAGGGGCCCCCAACGGGUUACCGAAUUCAGUCAAACUCCGAAUGCCAAAGACUUAUCCAUGGGAGUCAGACUGCGAGUGAUAAGAUCCGUAGUCAAAAGGGAAACAGCCCAGACCACCAGCUAAGGUCCCCAAGUAUACGUUAAGUGGAAAAGGAUGUGGAGUUGCUUAGACAACCAGGAUGUUGGCUUAGAAGCAGCCACCAUUUAAAGAGUGCGUAAUAGCUCACUGGUCGAGUGACUCUGCGCCGAAAAUGUACCGGGGCUAAACGUAUCACCGAAGCUGUGGAUUGACAUCUUUGAUGUCAGUGGUAGGAGAGCGUUCUAAGUGCUGUGAAGUCAGACCGUAAGGACUGGUGGAGCGCUUAGAAGUGAGAAUGCCGGUAUGAGUAGCGAAAGACAAGUGAGAAUCUUGUCCACCGAAUGCCUAAGGUUUCCUGAGGAAGGCUCGUCCGCUCAGGGUUAGUCGGGACCUAAGCCGAGGCUGAAAAGCGUAGGCGAUGGCCAACAGGUUGAUAUUCCUGUACCACCUCCCCGCCGUUUGAGUAAUGGGGGACGCAGUAGGAUAGGGUAAGCGCGCUGCUGGAUAUGCGCGUUCAAGCAGUUAGGCUGAUGAGUAGGCAAAUCCGCUCAUCAUAAAGGCUGAGCUGUGAUGACGAGGGAAUUAUAGUACCGAAGUUCCUGAUUCCACACUGCCAAGAAAAGCCUCUAGCGAGGCGGGAGGUGCCCGUACCGCAAACCGACACAGGUAGGCGAGGAGAGAAUCCUAAGGUGAUCGAGAGAACUCUCGUUAAGGAACUCGGCAAAAUGACCCCGUAACUUCGGGAGAAGGGGUGCUCUGGUAGGGUGUAUAGCCCGAGAGAGCCGCAGUGAAUAGGCCCAGGCGACUGUUUAGCAAAAACACAGGUCUCUGCGAAGCCGCAAGGCGAAGUAUAGGGGCUGACGCCUGCCCGGUGCUGGAAGGUUAAGAGGAGGGUUAUCCUUUGGGAGAAGCUCUGAAUCGAAGCCCCAGUAAACGGCGGCCGUAACUAUAACGGUCCUAAGGUAGCGAAAUUCCUUGUCGGGUAAGUUCCGACCCGCACGAAAGGCGUAACGAUCUGGGCACUGUCUCAACGAGAGACUCGGUGAAAUUAUAGUACCUGUGAAGAUGCAGGUUACCCGCGACAGGACGGAAAGACCCCGUGGAGCUUUACUGUAGCCUGAUAUUGAAUUUUGGUACAGCUUGUACAGGAUAGGUAGGAGCCUGAGAAACCGGAGCGCUAGCUUCGGUGGAGGCGUCGGUGGGAUACUACCCUGGCUGUAUUGAAAUUCUAACCCGCGGCCCUGAUCGGGCCGGGAGACAGUGUCAGGUGGGCAGUUUGACUGGGGCGGUCGCCUCCUAAAAUGUAACGGAGGCGCCCAAAGGUUCCCUCAGAAUGGUUGGAAAUCAUUCGUAGAGUGUAAAGGCACAAGGGAGCUUGACUGCGAGACCUACAAGUCGAGCAGGGACGAAAGUCGGGCUUAGUGAUCCGGUGGUUCCGCAUGGAAGGGCCAUCGCUCAACGGAUAAAAGCUACCCCGGGGAUAACAGGCUUAUCUCCCCAAGAGUCCACAUCGACGGGGAGGUUUGGCACCUCGAUGUCGGCUCAUCGCAUCCUGGGGCUGUAGUCGGUCCCAAGGGUUGGGCUGUUCGCCCAUUAAAGCGGUACGCGAGCUGGGUUCAGAACGUCGUGAGACAGUUCGGUCCCUAUCCGUCGUGGGCGUAGGAAAUUUGAGAGGAGCUGUCCUUAGUACGAGAGGACCGGGAUGGACACACCGCUGGUGUACCAGUUGUCUUGCCAAAGGCAUCGCUGGGUAGCUAUGUGUGGACGGGAUAAGUGCUGAAAGCAUCUAAGCAUGAAGCCCCCCUCAAGAUGAGAUUUCCCAUAGCGUAAGCUAGUAAGAUCCCUGAAAGAUGAUCAGGUUGAUAGGUCAGAGGUGGAAGCGUGGCGACAUGUGUAGCUGACUGAUACUAAUCGAUCGAGGACUUAACCAAAC
This 2937-nucleotide ribosomal RNA is filed under the name Priestia megaterium. RNAcentral's name for it is "bacterial LSU rRNA". It matches the Rfam family "Bacterial large subunit ribosomal RNA". Lineage: Bacteria; Bacillati; Bacillota; Bacilli; Caryophanales; Bacillaceae. The record is from RNAcentral.